RNAcentral lists this ribosomal RNA (249 nucleotides) under uncultured bacterium. Its description in RNAcentral is "partial 16S ribosomal RNA". It matches the Rfam family "Bacterial small subunit ribosomal RNA", at positions 523 to 769 of the family's 1533-position model. The record is from RNAcentral.
AUACGUAGGGCGCAAGCGUUGUCCGGAAUUAUUGGGCGUAAAGAGCUCGUAGGCGGUUUGUCGCGUCUGCUGUGAAAGCCCGGGGCUUAACCCCCGUGGUGUGCAGUGGGUACGGGCAGACUAGAGUGCAGUAGGGGAGACUGGAAUUCCUGGUGUAGCGGUGAAAUGCGCAGAUAUCAGGAGGAACACCGAUGGCGAAGGCAGGUCUCUGGGCUGUUACUGACGCUGAGGAGCGAAAGCAUGGGGAGC